RNAcentral lists this ribosomal RNA (160 nucleotides) under uncultured bacterium. RNAcentral's name for it is "partial 16S ribosomal RNA". It matches the Rfam family "Bacterial small subunit ribosomal RNA", at positions 333 to 508 of the family's 1533-position model. The record is from RNAcentral.
AGACUCCUACGGGAGGCAGCAGUGGGGAAUAUUGCACAAUGGGCGCAAGCCUGAUGCAGCAAACGCCGCGUGAAGGAAGACGGUUUUCGGAUUGUAAACUUCUGUUCUUAGUGAAGAAUAAUGACGGUAGCUAAGGAGCAAGCCACGGCUAACUACGUGC